UUCCUCUCAGGAUCGCACCUGGAGAGUUUCCAGUACUCUACCAGUCUCAACUAUGGGAGGGAGAGUCAAGCAGAGCCAUAUCCAUUCCAUUCCUAGUUUGGGCAGUGGCUAGCAAGUGGAAGGCAAUCUGCUACCAGU
RNAcentral lists this small nucleolar RNA (138 nucleotides) under Ornithorhynchus anatinus (platypus). Lineage: Eukaryota; Metazoa; Chordata; Mammalia; Monotremata; Ornithorhynchidae. The record is from RNAcentral.